RNAcentral lists this long non-coding RNA (203 nucleotides) under Setaria italica (foxtail millet). RNAcentral's name for it is "long non-coding RNA (SITA_LNC004715)". The record is from RNAcentral. Lineage: Eukaryota; Viridiplantae; Streptophyta; Magnoliopsida; Poales; Poaceae.
UUGGUUACAAGAAUACCAGUUGAAUACGACUAGAGAAGCCCUACUCUAUUACAACGAAUACCUUCCUAAUUCUCGACUAAUUCUUGUCUUUCCAUGUAGACUACGCCGCUCUACAUCAUGAUCUUCAUGUUAUAUGUGUCUUGGUGUCUAAUUCCAUAUUUGAGUCUGUCCAAACCUUCUGAUGGGCCCAUAGAUAUAUGUAU